GAGAACCUAGUAAAACUAUUACAUGAUCUUGUCAAGAUCAAAUUACAAUUUAUUGUGAUUCUCA
This 64-nucleotide transfer RNA is filed under the name Acrochordus granulatus (little file snake). RNAcentral describes it as "tRNA-Asp". Lineage: Eukaryota; Metazoa; Chordata; Lepidosauria; Squamata; Acrochordidae. The record is from RNAcentral.